CGAGUAAGACAGGUAAUCGCGGCUGCAAAAAGCCGAAAGGCUGCAGGCGAGGAAAGUCCGGGCUUCACAGGGCAGGAUGCCGGAUAACGUCCGGUGGAGGCGACUCCAAGGAUAGUGCAACAGAAAUGAACCGCCUUCUUAAUAUAGAAGGUAAGGGUGGAAGGGCAGUGUAAGAGACUACCGCCCUGCUGGUAACAGCGGGGGCAUAUGUAAACCCCAUCUGAAGCAAGACCGGAUAAAGACUAUGUGGCGGCCCGUCACGUCUUAGGUUGGUUGCUGGAACCUGCCGGUAACGGCAGGUCUAGAUAGAUGAUUACCCAACGACAUAACCCGGCUUAUCGUCUUGCUCGUGUA
RNAcentral lists this RNase P RNA (354 nucleotides) under Lachnospiraceae bacterium MD308. RNAcentral's name for it is "RNase P RNA component class A". It matches the Rfam family "Bacterial RNase P class A". From Rfam's summary of the family: Ribonuclease P (RNase P) is a ubiquitous endoribonuclease, found in archaea, bacteria and eukarya as well as chloroplasts and mitochondria. Lineage: Bacteria; Bacillati; Bacillota; Clostridia; Lachnospirales; Lachnospiraceae. The record is from RNAcentral.